RNAcentral lists this small nucleolar RNA (140 nucleotides) under Cicer arietinum (chickpea). RNAcentral describes it as "small nucleolar RNA snoR134". It matches the Rfam family "small nucleolar RNA snoR134". Lineage: Eukaryota; Viridiplantae; Streptophyta; Magnoliopsida; Fabales; Fabaceae. The record is from Rfam by way of RNAcentral.
ACGCACGAUGCAACCCCAGGCUUCUCUGAAUAAUGUAUGAGGUGAAAGCCCCAUUGCUCGUCCAAAAUCAAUGUCUUUCGUGUUGCAGUUCAGUCUUUACUUAUUCCACGAUUGAAUCUAUCGAUUCAAAAUCUUCAAUU